RNAcentral lists this ribosomal RNA (492 nucleotides) under uncultured bacterium. RNAcentral describes it as "partial 16S ribosomal RNA". It matches the Rfam family "Bacterial small subunit ribosomal RNA", at positions 29 to 507 of the family's 1533-position model. The record is from RNAcentral.
AGUGAACGCUGGCGGUAGGCCUAACACAUGCAAGUCGAACGGCAGCACAGUAAGAGCUUGCUCUUACGGGUGGCGAGUGGCGGACGGGUGAGGAAUACAUCGGAAUCUACUUUUUCGUGGGGGAUAACGUAGGGAAACUUACGCUAAUACCGCAUACGACCUACGGGUGAAAGCAGGGGAUCUUCGGACCUUGCGCGAUUGAAUGAGCCGAUGUCGGAUUAGCUAGUUGGCGGGGUAAAGGCCCACCAAGGCGACGAUCCGUAGCUGGUCUGAGAGGAUGAUCAGCCACACGAGAACUGAGACACGGUCCAGAGUCCUGCGGGAGGCAGCAGUGGGGAAUAUUAGACAGUGGGCGCAAGCCUGAUCCAGCCAUACCGCGUGGGUGAAGAAGGCCUUCGGGUUGUAAAGCCCUUUUGUUGGGAAAGAAAAGCAGCAGGUUAAUACCCCGCUGUUCUGACGGUACCCAAAGAAUAAGCACCGGCUAACUUCGUG